GACGAACCGUGCGAACGUUGUUCGGAAUCACUGGGCUUAAAGGGCGCGUAGGCUGGCUGCCAAGUCUGGGGUGAAAUCCCACGGCUCAACCGUGGAACUGCCUCGGAUACUGGCGGCCUCGAGGGGGGUAGGGGCAUGCGGAACUGUGGGUGGAGCGGUGAAAUGCGUUGAUAUCCACAGGAACUCCGGUGGCGAAGGCGGCGUGCUGGACCCCGUCUGACGCUGAGGCGCGAAAGCCAGGGGAGCAAACGGG
RNAcentral lists this ribosomal RNA (253 nucleotides) under uncultured bacterium. RNAcentral describes it as "partial 16S ribosomal RNA". It matches the Rfam family "Bacterial small subunit ribosomal RNA", at positions 524 to 776 of the family's 1533-position model. The record is from RNAcentral.